RNAcentral lists this ribosomal RNA (450 nucleotides) under uncultured bacterium. Its description in RNAcentral is "partial 16S ribosomal RNA". It matches the Rfam family "Bacterial small subunit ribosomal RNA", at positions 354 to 796 of the family's 1533-position model. The record is from RNAcentral.
GUGGGGAAUUUUGGACAAUGGGCGCAAGCCUGAUCCAGCAAUGCCGCGUGCAGGAAGAAGGCCUUCGGGUUGUAAACUGCUUUUGUACGGAACGAAACGGCUCUGGUUAAUACCCGGGGCUAAUGACGGUACCGUAAGAAUAAGCACCGGCUAACUACGUGCCAGCAGCCGCGGUAAUACGUAGGGUGCAAGCGUUAAUCGGAAUUACUGGGCGUAAAGCGUGCGCAGGCGGUUGUGUAAGACAGGCGUGAAAUCCCCGGGCUCAACCUGGGAAUUGCGCUUGUGACUGCACAGCUGGAGUGCGGCAGAGGGGGAUGGAAUUCCGCGUGUAGCAGUGAAAUGCGUAGAUAUGCGGAGGAACACCGAUGGCGAAGGCAAUCCCCUGGGCCUGCACUGACGCUCAUGCACGAAAGCGUGGGGAGCAAACAGGAUUAGAAACCCCUGUAGUCC